This 295-nucleotide small RNA is filed under the name Gloeothece citriformis PCC 7424. Its description in RNAcentral is "Cyanothece sp. PCC 7424 5' ureB small RNA". It matches the Rfam family "5' ureB small RNA". Lineage: Bacteria; Bacillati; Cyanobacteriota; Cyanophyceae; Chroococcales; Aphanothecaceae. The record is from Rfam by way of RNAcentral.
CGGUUUCGAUUUGUUGAGGACAGAUAAAAUGAAUGUGUGUGUCGAUCGCUCCGGCGGUGACAAUUCUUCCUUCUCCGGCGAUGACUUCUGUUCCUGGCCCGAUGAUAAUAUCGAUGUUAUCUUGGGUGUAAGGGUUGCCGGCUUUGCCAAUUUUGAAGAUUUUUCCCUGUUUAAUGCCUAUAUCGGCUUUGACUAUACCCCACCAAUCGAGGAUUAAUGCGUUGGUGAUUACGGUGUCUACGGCUGUGUUAUCAUCAUCUCCAUUAAUAAUGGGUGAUUGUCCCAUCCCGUCUCG